UAGAGAUGCAGGAAAUAAAUCAAGCAGUUAAUCUCUCCCAUCUAGUCAACCAAUCUAAAUUCUAGAUAUUUUGGUGUGAGGACCCCUAAAAGGCAAGCUACAGGACCCCAAAUUGAGCAAGAUUAGAUCCUACAGAAUUUUGAGAGAAGCAAGAAAGGAACAUAAUUUACAGAAUUAAAUUUGGAUUCCAGAUGAGGUGGCUACAGUAGGUUGAAGUUGGUAACAAUGUUGGACACAACAAGAAACACCCGAUACAUCCAAAUUCUUCUUAGUGUUUCUUGGCACAAAGAUCUGAUAUGGUAACUAAUUUUGGGUGGAAAAGAGCUAUCUUGGAAAGAAUUAAAUGAAAGAAAAUCAGAGUCCAAACUAAUUUUGCAUGAGAAGCAAACUGAGAAAGAAUUGAAACUAAUUCUUGGAAAACUUGAUUUGGGCAGCCGAAACCUUACCUUGUUUUGCAGAUUUUGUGGACCCAGAAAGAAAGAAAUUCUUCUCCUCUAAUUAACCAUGCCUCCUUUCCUUCUUUUACUAUGGAAAUCAUAAUAAAAUCAGAAAAUUUGGGCAGCAUAAGGAGUAGAUGGCUGGUGGUUGCUUAAAGCCUAUCCAAAGGAGGAGAGAUUCUAUAUCAAAUAAAAANNNN
Molecule: long non-coding RNA, 637 nt
Filed under: Elaeis guineensis (African oil palm)
Lineage: Eukaryota; Viridiplantae; Streptophyta; Magnoliopsida; Arecales; Arecaceae
Description: long non-coding RNA (EGUI_LNC048906)
Source: RNAcentral